GCACCCAUAGGAUAAUGGAUAAACCGUUGGCCUCCGGAGCCGGAGAUGUGGGUUCGAUUCCCACUGGGUGUACCA
RNAcentral lists this transfer RNA (75 nucleotides) under Bacillota bacterium. RNAcentral describes it as "Firmicutes bacterium (gut metagenome) tRNA-Arg". It matches the Rfam family "tRNA". From Rfam's summary of the family: Transfer RNA (tRNA) molecules are approximately 80 nucleotides in length. Their secondary structure includes four short double-helical elements and three loops (D, anti-codon, and T loops). Further hydrogen bonds mediate the characteristic L-shaped molecular structure. tRNAs have two regions of fundamental functional importance: the anti-codon, which is responsible for specific mRNA codon recognition, and the 3' end, to which the tRNAs corresponding amino acid is attached (by aminoacyl-tRNA synthetases). tRNAs cope with the degeneracy of the genetic code in two manners: having more than one tRNA (with a specific anti-codon) for a particular amino acid; and 'wobble' base-pairing, i.e. permitting non-standard base-pairing at the 3rd anti-codon position. Lineage: Bacteria; Bacillati; Bacillota. The record is from RNAcentral.